Molecule: non-coding RNA, 132 nt
Organism: Kytococcus sedentarius DSM 20547
Lineage: Bacteria; Bacillati; Actinomycetota; Actinomycetes; Micrococcales; Kytococcaceae
Source: Rfam
UGCGCAUUCUGCCCAGGCGGAGCUCGACCGCCGCUGACUGACGUCGAUGGGUUCAUCGACGAGCAUCGUGAGGAGCACGGGGUCGAGCCGAUCUGCACCACGCUGGCCGAGGCCGGCUACCAGAUCGCCCCC